Molecule: ribosomal RNA, 617 nt
Filed under: uncultured bacterium
Lineage: Bacteria
Description: bacterial SSU rRNA
Rfam family: Bacterial small subunit ribosomal RNA
Source: RNAcentral
CCACACUGGAACUGAGACACGGUCCAGACUCCUACGGGAGGCAGCAGUGGGGAAUUUUGGACAAUGGGGGCAACCCUGAUCCAGCCAUGCCGCGUGAGUGAAGAAGGCCUUCGGGUUGUAAAGCUCUUUCAGACGGAAAGAAACGGUUACGGCUAAUACCCGUGACUAAUGACGGUACCGUCAGAAGAAGCACCGGCUAACUACGUGCCAGCAGCCGCGGUAAUACGUAGGGUGCGAGCGUUAAUCGGAAUUACUGGGCGUAAAGCGUGCGCAGGCGGUUUUGUAAGACAGACGUGAAAUCCCCGGGCUUAACCUGGGAACUGCGUUUGUGACUGCAAGACUAGAGUACGGCAGAGGGGGGUAGAAUUCCACGUGUAGCAGUGAAAUGCGUAGAUAUGUGGAGGAAUACCGAUAGCGAAGGCAGCCCCCUGGGUCGAUACUGACGCUCAUGCACGAAAGCGUGGGGAGCAAACAGGAUUAGAUACCCUGGUAGUCCACGCCCUAAACGAUGUCAACUAGGUGUUGGGGAAGGAGACUUCUUUAGUACCGCAGCUAACGCGAUAAGUUGACCGCCUGGGGAGUACGGUCGCAAGAUUAAAACUCAAAGGAAUUGACGG